This 74-nucleotide transfer RNA is filed under the name Loxodonta africana (African savanna elephant). It matches the Rfam family "tRNA". From Rfam's summary of the family: Transfer RNA (tRNA) molecules are approximately 80 nucleotides in length. Their secondary structure includes four short double-helical elements and three loops (D, anti-codon, and T loops). Lineage: Eukaryota; Metazoa; Chordata; Mammalia; Proboscidea; Elephantidae. The record is from Rfam by way of RNAcentral.
CCCUGGGUGGUACAAAUGGUUAACACAAUUGGCUGCUAACUAAAAGGUUGGAGGUUUGAGUUCCCCCCGAGGGG